This is a long non-coding RNA of Callithrix jacchus (white-tufted-ear marmoset), 1515 nucleotides long. RefSeq lists it as uncharacterized. The record is from RefSeq and is a predicted model, not a curated record. NCBI's taxonomy places the organism in Eukaryota, Metazoa, Chordata, Mammalia, Primates, Cebidae.
CAUCCCUCAGGGCUGGGGUUAUAAUGGUACCUGUGGUGCUUAGCCAGCUUGGCCUAGGGAACUUUCUUGUCCAAUCUGGACCAAGCCCUGAACUCUGUGCAGCCUGUGUCUAUUCUUGGUCACGCAUUUGAAAACUCCAGUUUUUGACUACCCAGUUUCCAAUAGAUUUUGAUGGAAGCCCGUGCUAUUUAAUCCCCAGGACGCCCCUAUGAGCUAGAUUCUUUUAUUAUCCUCAUCUUGGAGAUGAGGAGACUGCAAUUUGGAGAUCCUAUGUCUCCUGCCAAGGAUCACACACCCAUGCAAUGGAAAAAUUGGCGUUGAAGCCUAGUUCUGAGAACUUCAAGGGCUGUUUUCCUUCCACCAGGCUAUCCUGUACUGAACACAGUAAUUAUUUGUUACCUGCAGACACCACCAAUCACAGAACUGAAGAAAAAACCUGGAGUUGAAACAAAAGGGAAAAGCCUCAUUAUCCACAGUUCUACUUGUGUCUUCCUUCCUUGCUUCCUACCCAGCUCCCUCCCUGCUCCCAGUGGUUAGUUACAGGCCUUCCUUUUAUGACAUAACCACUGCCAAGCCACAGCUUCCUGUGUUUUGUCUUAUUACCCAGGGAAGAAAGUAGUGUCUGCUGGCCUGAUCUGUAACUCAGGCCAUAAUUACUUCUGAACUGUUAGGGUUCAGAGGGCUGGCUAAACAUCUCCAAGAAAUACCAGAACCUUCUGAUUCUGUCAUCCCUUGGCUGGAACUUAGAGACAAGAUGAAGACCUAAGCUGUGAAUAGCAUUAAAUCUUCAGGGAAUGAUCCUUCCUGGGCAAAAGGGAUGACGCCAAUUAAAAUGCCUAAUGGAAAUGUAUGAAAGAAGGUGGACACAGUGGCUCAUGCCUGUAAUUCUAGCACUUUGGGAGGCUGAGGCAGGCAGAUCACCUGAAGUUGGGAGUUCAAGUGCAGCCUGGCCAGCAUGGUGAAACCCCAUCUCUACUAAAAAUACAAAAAUUAGCCAGGCAUGAUGGCAGGUGCCUGUAAUCCUAGCUACUCAGGAGGCUGAGGUGGGAGAAUCACUUGAACCGGGGAGGAAGAGGUUGCAGUGAGCUGAGAUCAUGUCAUUGCACUCCAGCCUGGGUGACAGAGCAAAACUCUGCCUAAAGAAAAAAAAAAAGGAUAAAGUAUGUACUUAUUCAUAGCAACAUUAUUACAUCAUUCUGAAAUCUUUUGGAUUUUUGCCAUUAUAACUGAGAAAUAAUACCUAAAUAUAGCUUUAGUCUACAUUGCUCUUCUUAAGAAUAAAGUUGAGGCUUUUAUAUAUGUUUCAUGAAGUGUGUAUGUAUUUUCUUCUGUGAAUUCUUCAUAUCUUUUGUUCAGUUUUUCUGCUGGGGUUUUUAUGUGUUUCUGUCUAUGUCCAGGACCUAUUCUAGGGAGAUUAUCCCUCUGCUGUCACACAAAUUGCAAAUAUUUUCCUGACUCGUCAUUUAUCUGUUACUAUUUUAAUUAUUUGAUAAGUUAAAUUUGGCCUUGGUUGUA